Molecule: ribosomal RNA, 253 nt
Filed under: uncultured bacterium
Lineage: Bacteria
Description: partial 16S ribosomal RNA
Rfam family: Bacterial small subunit ribosomal RNA
Source: RNAcentral
GACGAACCGAGCGAACGUUAUUCGGAAUCACUGGGCUUAAAGGGUGCGUAGGCGGGCACGCGAGUCAGGGGUGAAAUCCCACGGCCCAACCGUGGAAGUGCCUCUGAUACCGCGGGCCUCGAGGGGGAUAGGGGCGUGCGGAACUUCCGGUGGAGCGGUGAAAUGCGUAGAUAUCGGAAGGAACACCGGUGGCGAAAGCGGCGCGCUGGAUCCCUACUGACGCUGAGACGCGAAAGCGUGGGGAGCGAACAGG